AUGGAACAAGAUGGCAGGAGGGCAAAAGGAGUGCCUAGGCGAGGAGCAGCAGAAAACACCAAGAGAACAUCCCAACGGUCGUCCAGAAGAGGGCUGGUGAUGAUGGUGCCAGGAGAAGAGCUGGAAGAUGAGGCAGCGGGUCGGCAAUACGCUACGAAGGCGUCGGUGCCAUCGUACUCCGACUUGAUGGCCCGCCACCCACCUUCUUCGGCUUCUCCGGCCCACCUAAGCAAGCCACCCAAGGAGGCGACCCCGAGAAGUUCAAGGAGCUGGCCCCAUCCCCGGCAAAUUACUUUGCCGGGGGUGGGCCAGGUGCAAAUGCUGCUACUACUGACGCUGCUCAGGGACGGUGUGUCCGAUGCCUAG
This 366-nucleotide ribosomal RNA is filed under the name Triticum aestivum (bread wheat). RNAcentral describes it as "partial small subunit ribosomal RNA". Lineage: Eukaryota; Viridiplantae; Streptophyta; Magnoliopsida; Poales; Poaceae. The record is from RNAcentral.